Non-coding RNA from Carica papaya (papaya), 562 nucleotides. NCBI's taxonomy places the organism in Eukaryota, Viridiplantae, Streptophyta, Magnoliopsida, Brassicales, Caricaceae. The record is from RefSeq and is a predicted model, not a curated record.
ACGUUCAUCCGCCCAAAGCAAAAGGGGAUAAAAAACUCCCGACUCCGCCACAGUAACCCUCUCUCUAUCUCCCUUCAUCUGUGCAGGUAACGGGAGAGAGAUGCACGGCCGUCCUCGUAUAGCCCCAAAACCAGAAGAGGCGGCUGCUUCAGCCGCCAAAGCAGAGAGCUUCGAGCUCUGCAAUCUCAGUUCCUUUCGUAUCAUCGCAAUAAAAUUUACACUAAGGAGGCUGUAGAGCUAAGUGGGAAGCUACUAGAGAUCAAUCCAGAAUCCUACACGGCGUGGAAUUACAGGAAGCUCGCCUCUGAGCACAAUCUUAGGCAGGCCGACUCUGAUCCAGACUCGCUCAAGUCGAUUCUCGAUGAAGAACUAAGAGUGGUGGAGAUUGCCUUAAGGCAAAAUUUUAAAUCCUAUAGUGCUUGGCAUCAUCGGAAGUGGGUUCUAAGCAAGGGGCAUUCAUCUAUAGGUCAUGAAUUGAGGCUUCUAGAUAAGUUCCAGAGGAUUGAUCCCCGAAACUUUCAUGCAUGGAACUAUCGCAGAUUUGUAGCCGCAUUGAUGAAAA